Molecule: non-coding RNA, 915 nt
Organism: Phoenix dactylifera (date palm)
Lineage: Eukaryota; Viridiplantae; Streptophyta; Magnoliopsida; Arecales; Arecaceae
Source: RefSeq, a predicted model, not a curated record
UAUAAGAGCCGCUUUGUGUUGAUCUUUGGGCAAAGCCUGAUCCGGCUUGGCCACGGCGACGAAGCCGGCGAUCGCAAUGGGCAUGCCGCAACCGAUAAGGGGAAGGGCGUGGUGACAGCGAUGGACAAGGGGAAGGGGAAGGUCGUGGUUGAGGAGGAGGAAGAGGACAGUGAUUUCUCGGAUGAUCUGCUCGCCGAGGUCGAUCUCACGAACAUUCUCCCCUCGAGGACGCGCAUGGCAACUGUGAUUGCGAUUAGCUGACAUGAAACGGAAAAGAGGUAACUUUGAUGGAAAAUUCCUGGCUUUGUUCUGACUUUCAGUGUUAACUCUGUCAUUUGGAAUGGGAAUUUAGAUAAAGUUGGGAUUUUUGCCUGAUUGGAUGCAAUGUCGAACAAACACUUGAUAAUCAGAAUGACAAACUGAAAGAGGCCUGCAGGCAAAGGGUUAUGGAAUGGAGGACAACUUUCUCCAAAUACCUCUAAACUCUAACUCUUAAACCCUGAUGAAGGAGGGAUUUGGGCCUAGGUCUUUGUUAUAUGCCCCCACUAGACUUUACUAGCAAGGUAAGCUGGCAGCUUCUUGUUUUGGAGACUGCUGAUUGCAUGUUUUCAGAUGUAACAACUGUCACAUAUCUUCUCCUCAAUUAAUUACUUCUUACCAGUCGGAUAUUGUUGUACAUGGUAUUGCUCUUGUCAAUUAUUUCAUUUCUCAAUUACAAUUUAAUAAAAUCCAUGAGACAUUGUCACUAUGCAGAAGGAAAGAGCAUCUUGGUGCUUGAUCUGAACCGUAUGUUAGAAUGAUAGUCCAUGGCUUGUCAAAAACUCUAGGUUUUUUCUUUUUCUUUUUUAAAUCACCCUCAUUGGUUCCACGUAUUUAUCUUGAUCUAGAUUGUGGACUUGAUCUCUCAAUCUCUCU